Long non-coding RNA from Glycine soja, 3015 nucleotides. RefSeq lists it as uncharacterized. The transcript is spliced from 6 exons. Lineage: Eukaryota; Viridiplantae; Streptophyta; Magnoliopsida; Fabales; Fabaceae. The record is from RefSeq and is a predicted model, not a curated record.
UGUUCAACCAUUUUUCUCCUGUUGUUAUUUCGUUGACAUCAGCAUAUGUUAAGAACAAGGUUGAAUCUACACUUGGAGAACCAUAGACAUUAUUUGAAGAAGCAAAAUCAAAAUCAAAAUGUGCAUACUUUUGUAACGUAUGGUUCUAUCAUUGAUGGACUUGCUAUAAUUGACAGGCUGGAUGAACCAUAGACGUUAUUUGAAGAAGCAAAGUCAAAAUGUGUUGAUUUGAAUGUUGUGGUGUAUAGUAGUGUUAUUGAUGGGUUUGGGAAGGUGGGAAGGAUUGAUGAAGCAUAUUUAAUUUUGGACGAGUUGAUGCACAAAGGUCUGACUCCAAAAUUUGCACACACAUAUAUACCGGCAUCUUCCUCAUACUACCAAAAUCCUACAAAUAGAAUUUUAUUAUUUAUUUCCACCCAAAUUGCUCAACGUCAUUCAAACAAAUAUCCAUUUAAGUUAUUUUUUUCUAAACCUAGAACAAAACUCCAAAAGUUGGUUUAAUCAAAACUCCAAAUUCUCUGCGAGGUAUUAUUAUACUUUGAGGAUGUGGAAGCUGCAACAAGUUGGAAAGAUGAGAGGAGGAGUUAGUAGCAUACAGCUACAGCCUUUGACACUCGAGGCUUCAACCCUAGUUAAAGCAGCUGUUACUGUUGGCUUCACAUUGCCACUGUCAUGCGCAAGUGGCUGAUGGGGGAUUAGAAGUUUUAGAACAUAAAUUAACGACAAGGCAUGUCGCCCCUCCCUUGAAAUUAUUUGGGAUCUUCACCCCUUUACAGUUGCAAUUGGUAGCUUCAGCCUUGCUUUAAAGUUUGAUAGGACAUAAAUUAAGGGCAAGACAUGUCACCCCUCCCUUGAAAUUAUUUGGGAUCUUCACCCCUUUACAGUGGUUUUGUUUGUUUGUUUUAGUGGUUUUCAUGAUCAAUCAUUUUCGUUUUGGUUUUGAGUGAUAUUCAACGACCAUAAUGAUGAGAAUCUAAAGAUUCUAUGUGAUGCAUUGGGGCAAAAGCCUCCACAACCGAAAAAAACAGCCAAGGAGAUUGCAAGCAUUGUGCUUCUUUGUAGGUCAUGAUUGCUUAAGUAGGGAAUGACUUAGUGAAGACAGAUGUAAGGAAACAAACUUGGGUUUUCUUUGUAGGUGUGGAUUCUGAAGCAAAACAACAUGUGUCAAAAGAGCUAGCUAAAGUAAUUUUUGGGUGUUACAGUAACUUUGUCUCCAUUGGUUAAAGUUGUUUCUCUUUAGCUCAUGAGGAGUCCAAAUAUAAAAGGCUAGGAGAUGAGUUUGGGGGCAGUUAUCUUCAGAGAUUUGGGGAAGCAGUGAAUGAGAAUCCUCAUAGGUUGUUCUUUAUGGAAUAUUUGGAGCAAGUUGAUGACUUUUCUAAACAGGGUGUUAAGCAAUGAAUUGAAAAUGGACCUAUAAUCCUUGCUGGUAGUGAAUCUGUCUGUGCCUAUGAAGGAUGCAAUUGUCAUUUUCAUUAGUGAAUGGUUAAGUUCAGUACUAUGAACCCAUCUUUCUCGUGCAACAACUACUUCUCCACUUGUAGAUGCAGAGAGGAAACAAAAUAUUAACAACUCAGAGGACAAAUUUUCAUGCCUCUGUUUGGAUUUGAACAUCGGCAUUGAAGUUGUUGUGCAAAAAAAUGCUUGACAUACAUGGACAAACUGAUGACAUCCUACAUUUAGUUGAUAACAAAAUUCAUUUUAAAAUAUGAGGGGAAAUACUUUUCUAUAUAAGGGGAAACUGAUAUACCCUGUCAAACAAUGCUACUGUGUUGAGUUUACCUAAACAAAUCAUGGAGAAAUUUAUUUCUGGUACAACUGAUUUUCAUCACUCAAUUAAAACAUUUAGUCUUUGAUGAAAUUAGGGUCUCUACCCAAAAUGAUCAGUUUUCACUCUUUCUCUCUCUCUCUCUUUAAUUUCACUUCUCUGCAUUUUACAGUUUUACUGAUCUUGUUAUGGUGGCAUAGUCAACUGCCCCAACAACUAAUCUGUAAAGGGUAGGGUCAGAGAAUCUUUCUGAGCUUCAUUUAGAGAGUUUACAGGCUACAACCAUAGGAGAACCAAUAGGAUUUGCUUCAUCCAUUUUUGUCUUUGCUUGAAGAUCCCUAAUACACAUAUACUUAGAUGGAGUAAGUAUAUGUCAGCCAUCAGCUUGAUUAGCUGCUUCAAUUCCCAAAAAAUAAUCAACAUCUCCACGAUCUUUUAAGGAAAAUAGGUUGUUAAGCUCACAAACUAGUUUCUAAAUCAGUUUACACUCAUUUCUAAUGCUGUGAAUGGAUAUAAUUUUGUUGAACAUAUGAUAACUAUAAUGUGAUUUAUUUAAGACAGGCAUCUGCGUUCAUCGUAACAUAUCCAUUAAAUAAUGCUAUUAAUGAAGAAGGUAAUGGAACCAGAAAGGCAGUUGCUUGGGAGAAGACCUUUAUUCAGUUGGUGAAGGAUGAGCUGUUACCGAUGGUACAAUCAAGAAAUUUGACACUGGCUUUUUUAUCUGAAAGCUCUAUUGAGGAAGAAUUGAAAGUACUGCAGAUGCUAUAACUAUAUUGGUUAGCUAUCUUGUGAUGUUUGCUUACAUAUCUCUUACUUUAGGGGAUACCCUCCACCCUUUGUCUUUCUAUAUUUCAUCUAAGAUUGCAGGUGAUGCUUGGUCUUUCAGGAGUAAUUCUUGUUAUGCUGUCUAUGAUUGGAUCAGUUGGAUUUUUUAGUGUGCUUGGUGUAAAAUCUAUUCUGAUCAUCAUGGAAGUUAUCCCAUUUCUUGUCCUAGCCAAUGACAGCAGUAGAGGACGAGGAGUGAGAUUCUUUUGUGGAGCCCCCGAGCCGACGUGAUGAUGUUGAGAUUAUUUUGGGAGAGAGUUGUGUUUUGUUAAUCAACUCUUCCAUAGCUGGUUCUGUAAUUCUUUUGUUGAUAUAAGGAUGUAAAUCACAAAUUUAUUUAUAUGUACGAACAAAUUUACCUUUAAUUUUGUGAAUGAUGUGUACUGCACUACUAUACUUAUGUGUAUGCAUUUGGUUAAGUAAUA